Zingiber officinale is the source of this 773-nucleotide long non-coding RNA. RefSeq lists it as uncharacterized. NCBI's taxonomy places the organism in Eukaryota, Viridiplantae, Streptophyta, Magnoliopsida, Zingiberales, Zingiberaceae. The record is from RefSeq and is a predicted model, not a curated record. The transcript has 3 exons.
UAGAUUGUAAAUUUCAUCCGAGGCAGCCAUGGCUAUUCACAGCUGGAGCAGAUUCUGUCAUUAAACUGUAUUGCCACUAAUGAUAGAUUCUCCAGGAAACUUUGAAGAAUCUCCUCGAGUCAAGAUACGUUGUGAUUGGCACGGCAAGUGUUCUAAAAUGAAGCCAAAGAAAAUGGGGGAGAAAAUAAGGUUCGGCUUGAGGAAUUUAUGCAAUAAAGCAGUUUUAUAUUUGAUUCCUUCUUUAAUUAUAUUGCGUGUGUUCCUAAGCUGCAACCUAUUAAUAAUUUUAGUUUUAUAAUGUUCUUUGCCACUACCUUUCUAUUAUUCAUUCUUUUGCUUUGCAGGUUGUGACAAAAAUUGAUUGGCAUCGGAAAGGAGACUAUUUCACUACUGUCGUUCCUAGUGAUAUCCUAAUUAUGAAUUUUAGUUGUACUUAUUUUUAGUCAUUCCUAGUGCCUAUUUUAUUCCUAGUCACCUUAUUUCAAUGACAAGAACAAGGGUUCUCAUGGCCAAUAUGUGUCUAUUAAUGGGAUUUUCAAUGUCUUGCUUACCACGCUAAUCCUACUUCUGAUUGGAUUUGCAGCUUCAAGAUAUCAAACUCUACACCUUCUAUAUGGAGCUAGAUUUGCAAAAGCCAUAUCCAACUCGAGGAAGUGACUUAUUGACAUGGGAGAGAACUUAUUGGUAACCAAGGACUUUGUGAAGAUAGCAAAUUUUGGCCUUGCUCGUGAAGUUCAUUCGAAGCCACCAUUCACAGAAUAGGUUUCAACACA